GAUGAACGCUGGCGGCGUGCCUAAUACAUGCAAGUAGAACGCUGAAGCUUGGUGCUUGCACCGAGCGGAUGAGUUGCGAACGGGUGAGUAACGCGUAGGUAACCUGCCUCUUAGCGGGGGAUAACUAUUGGAAACGAUAGCUAAUACCGCAUAAAAGUCGAUAUCGCAUGAUAUUGAUUUGAAAGGUGCAAAUGCAUCACUAAGAGAUGGACCUGCGUUGUAUUAGCUAGUUGGUGAGGUAACGGCUCACCAAGGCGACGAUACAUAGCCGACCUGAGAGGGUGAUCGGCCACACUGGGACUGAGACACGGCCCAGACGCCUACGGGAGGCAGCAGUAGGGAAUCUUCGGCAAUGGGGGCAACCCUGACCGAGCAACGCCGCGUGAGUGAAGAAGGUUUUCGGAUCGUAAAGCUCUGUUGUAAGAGAAGAACGAGUGUGAGAGUGGAAAGUUCACACUGUGACGGUAACUUACCAGAAAGGGACGGCUAACUACGUG
This 497-nucleotide ribosomal RNA is filed under the name uncultured bacterium. RNAcentral describes it as "partial 16S ribosomal RNA". It matches the Rfam family "Bacterial small subunit ribosomal RNA", at positions 28 to 507 of the family's 1533-position model. The record is from RNAcentral.